This 468-nucleotide ribosomal RNA is filed under the name uncultured bacterium. RNAcentral describes it as "partial 16S ribosomal RNA". It matches the Rfam family "Bacterial small subunit ribosomal RNA", at positions 28 to 507 of the family's 1533-position model. The record is from RNAcentral.
GACGAACGCUGGCGGCGUGCUUAACACAUGCAAGUCGAACGGAAAGGCCCUGCUUUUGUGGGGUGCUCGAGUGGCGAACGGGUGAGUAACACGUGAGUAACCUGCCCUUGACUUUGGGAUAACUUCAGGAAACUGGGGCUAAUACCGGAUAGGAGCUCCUGCUGCAUGGUGGGGGUUGGAAAGUUUCGGCGGUUGGGGAUGGACUCGCGGCUUAUCAGCUUGUUGGUGGGGUAGUGGCUUACCAAGGCUUUGACGGGUAGCCGGCCUGGGAGGGUGACCGGCCACAUUGGGACUGAGAUACGGCCAGGACUCCUACGGGAGGCAGCGGUGGGGAAUAGAGCGCGAUGGGCGGAAGCCUGAUGCAGCAACGCCGCGUGCGAGAUGACGGCCUUCGGGUUGGAAACCGCUUUCGCCUGUGACGAAGCGUGAGUGACGGUAAUGGGUAAAGAAGCACCGGCUAACUACGUG